Long non-coding RNA from Orcinus orca (killer whale), 8074 nucleotides. RefSeq lists it as uncharacterized. The transcript has 12 exons. The record is from RefSeq and is a predicted model, not a curated record. NCBI's taxonomy places the organism in Eukaryota, Metazoa, Chordata, Mammalia, Artiodactyla, Delphinidae.
UCCAAAGUAUAUAACAAGGGGAGAACAGUUAGUGCUGAUUUUCAUUUGCAUACAUUUUCAUAUAUUUUGGUGAAAAUAAUAGACUAGUGGAGAGCUGGGCUUAGAGGAGUCGCUGGAAAGGCAAGACUAAGGAAGCACCGCUUCUGGGGAGUUGAGAAUAUGCCUCCCCCCACCCCAGUCACCUUAUUAUUAUUUUUUUAAAUGAAACAUCUUAAUUUAUUUUAAAAUCUAACCUUGGAAGUUUGCUCGGUGAGGAAACUGACAACUCAAAGAAGAUACUAACUUUGCCACCCACCGCCACUCCUCCUAGCUGGCAGGUGGCGGAGCUGGGCUGCUCUCGAGAGGCCAGGGCCAUAUCAGUUUCAAAGAUCGCUGUCAGGGUGCGAGCAACUGAAGUUGAAAUGGCCGGAAAGCGGAAACUUUUCUUCAGAGUUGUACAGUUGGUGGAAUAUUCAUAGAAGUGUAAUGUGACACAGGAUGCCGAGUCGGUGUCGAAACUUUGUUCCAAACCAUAUUUGCUAUUUGUAAAACUGGUCCCUCAGGGACCAGCUACGGAUAAGGUAAGGGGUGGGGGUGGGGGCUGGCUGCCGAGUGACUGAGACAGGGCUGCAGGAGGGGCUUCUGGCCACAGGAAUUAGGGUUCUCGGGAGCCGGGAGAGAUCUGGGGUCCAGCCUUUCCCACCCUGGGAGGACCACCUCUGCCUCAGGUAGGGACACCUUUCCUUCAUGUUGCCACGUAAGUUUUGUGCCUGAGUUUGAAACGUGAGCGUUGGAGGAAUUGAUACAGUAUCAUUGUGCAGUUUUGCUCGUGGGGAAGUGACACCAUUCGCUUUUUCCUUGAAAGUCUCCUGGUCAGGAUGUUGAUAAAAAAAAUCUGGCGCCAUGGACCCUGACCAGUGUCAUCUCCCGAUGCUGAAAGUAUAUUUUAAAACGAACCAAAGGUAUCAUCUACUGAUGACCCAAAUUUCCUUUCAAGAAUUAACAAAUCUCUCUCGUUUUUUUUUUUCCCCCCCUAGGAACUCUAUGCAUCUGUAGUUAAUCUAAGAAUUAACAUUUAGCAAAUUACUGCCUCAGUGCCUUAAAUGAAGUAUGUGUCUGGUGGCUCUGUUGAUUAGAGCCCCGUGCUAAUGAGGUCACGAGUUCAGUCCCCAGGAGGGCUGGUUCACUUCUCCGUGGUCCCCCUCCGGACCCUGGCCACACCUCCAGAGGAACACUGGUCACAAGUGGCCUUCUGGGGAAGAAUCAACACAAAUUCUUCACGAUUUGUGGGAAAAGACAACUCAAAGCAGAUGCCUUGAGUUAACCUGGAAUAUGGCAGUGAUCCCAUGGGGUGACUAAAUGGUACCCUAGGAGGCUGCAAAGACGUCCUACAGACUGUGCCAGUGCUAUGCUUCCUGGGGUGGCUUCCGUGCUGGGAAAGCUGGCUUUGAUGUGUGUGUGGGACUCUGUCCUGCAAGGAAAGGGGAGUGUUUUCUAGAAACAGUGAGAGGUGGGAUGCCUCUUCAAGAGGCAGCGUCGGGGGGAUGCUUUAGGGGAAUUUGGUUGCCUUUUCAUUGAUCACUUAUUCAAAAGAGGGAUCAUUUGGGGACUGCCAAUUAGUGUCUGUCCUCAUGCACCCCCUGGGACCACUUUUCCUGUGGUCAGGCCACGCCAUCGACUUGUCUCAAGCUGGCAGUAGACCCAGGAGUGAAGAGCUUUCAAGGCAUGGGGGAUUCUCACACUCAUGCAUUCUCUCCAUUUUUCACUCCCAGAAACCACUUUUUCAGGUCCAGGUUCAGUUCUGAAGCUAAAUCUCGGCCAGGCAUGACUGGAUGCACUGGUAUCCUCUGAGGUCGUUUCUUGGUUUUAGGGAAGGCUAAUGCCUAGCGACCUCCAGCUCUGCCUGGUGACAUUCCUGGUUGGGACCAGCACCCUCGCUGGCUUCCUCCUAUUUACCAAAAAUACAUUCUCCACCUCUCUUUUAAAACAAUUUUUUAAAAUAAUUUUAAUCACUAGCAGGAUGCUUUGUAUAUAGCAGGGGUUCAGUAAAUAUUCGUCAGAUGAAUGAGUGAGCGGAUGAAAGCAUCAAAUGUGGAAUUGAUUCCAUUUAGAAAACGGCGGUGUUUUUAAUUUUAUCAUUUUCUUGCUUUUCUCUUUACAAAAUUCUAUGUGUUUAUUAAAAAUAAUUCCGAAACUAGAGAUGAGCAGAACUUAAGAAAAUAAGAAUCAUCACCCGUAAUGCCAUCACUUGGAGAUAGCCUUUCUUGAUAUUUUGGGGUGUGUUAUAGUGAUAUCUAUAUGCAUAUCUAUUAUAUGUAUGGGACCCAGACAAUGUGUAUUAUUGUGUAAUUUUUUAAAACUUAUAUCCAGAAUCUUUGCAUGAUAUUAAAUAUUCUUCUGUGUUAUUAUUUUAAUUUUUUCAGACCAUUUUAUUCUAUGACUUGACUUCAACUUAGCCGCCUGUUAAGACAUCCCUGGAGCUUAAACUUUCUACGUAGCUUUAUUUCCUUGGGAUAAAUUCCUACAAGAGGAAUUGCAUGGUUCCAUGGUUUUCUAAUUCACUAUAUGUUGGCAAGUUAUCGGUUAGAGCAGUGCCACCAAUACGUACUCCUACCUGCGAUCGGUUAGUGUCCGGCCACACUCCUCCUUGGUUGAACGGUGUGUUGUCAUUCUUAUAUUUGCUAAUCCUUAGGCAAAAAGUAUAUCCAAGUUCUUCUACUUUGCAUUUCUUUCUUUAAAAUUUAUGUUUUUUUUACUCUAUUGCACUCUUAUAUUUUAAAAAUUAAUUAACAAUUAAAAAAAUUUUUUUGGCUGCAUCGGGUCUUCAUUGCUACACGUCGGCUUUCUCUAGUUGCGGCAAGCGGGGGCUACUCUUUGUUGCGGUGCACGGGCUUCUCAUUGUGGUGGCUUCUCUUGCUGUGGAGCACAGGCUUUAGGUGCGUGGGCUUCAGUAGUUGCAGCACACGGGCCCUAGAGCAUGUGGGCUUCAGUAGUUGUGGUGCACUGGCUCGGUAGUUGUGGCUCGUGGGCUCUAGAGUGCAGGCUCAGUAGUUGUGGUGCACAGGCUUAGUUGCUCCGCGGCAUGUGGGAUCUUUCAGGACCAGGGAUCAAACCUGUGUCCCCUGCAUUGGAAGGCAGAUUCUUAACCACUGUGCCACCAGGGAAGUCCCUAAUUUUUCCAGUAGGUCAUUGUUGGUUAUGUAUUUUAAAUAGAGCAGUGUGUACAUGUCAAUCCCAACUCCCAUAGUGAAACUGAAUACUUUUUCAUGUGGCCAUUUUAACAUCUUCUUUGCAAAUUGCCUGUUAAUGUUUUUGAAAACCCACAUAUUUGGGGGGCCAAUAUACGUACCCCUCUCUACUUCAUGGACUAUUGUAAGAAUUAGUUGAAAUAACCUAUUUGAAUAUGUUUGAAACCGACACAGCAAUACACAAAUGUGUUGACCACGUUUAUGACCUGUAGGGUGAGGGUCAGAAGGAAUGGCCAUCUGGAGACAAACAGGCUGAGUCAGUGGUACCCAUGGAAGGCUUGGGCAGCUCUGCCUGCUGACGUAUGGGGAGAGGCACCUGUGAGAAAGGGUAAGGGGCCUUGACCCUUUGUUACUGAGAGAAGGCCACCGGAAAUAGACAAGGUCAGUGGCAAUACAGGGGCUGGCAGCUCAAAAUGUUGUUUCAGUUGUUACAACUAGUAUAGGGUACUUUUCUAAUUUGAAAAUGAUCCGAUAAAGAAAAAAACAAUUAAGACACUCCACCCUGCAGCAGGGUCGGCAAUUCAUGAGGCGACAGGAGCUGAGUUCUGGGCUGUCAUGGGUGCCCGUGCUGACUUGGACAGAGCAGCUCCAGGGAGCCCUUGAGAGUCAUACCUGGACCCUGCAGGACGCCGAGCUCACGGCCAUCUUGCACUCAGAUGACGGGGAAGCCGUGCCUCCUUGGCGAGCAGGACCCUGUGAACAGGCCAAGCUUACAGGGAUGAGAAUAAAACGUCUGAUGCUGAGAAACGUGCCUGAAAUGAGAGGAAAGGUUGAUGAGGCAGGUCUCCACAGCCUGGAUCGUGUGGAGUGCUUUCAGAAACCGUCACCCAUUGUGCAGAAUAACUGCAUUGGAAGAGUAGAAGCCCCAUGUCUCCUCGGCCAGCGGGUGUUUAUCAUAGGACAGUGGAAAAGAGGGACAAAAAUGCCUGGAUAUGAUAUUAAGCGUUGGCAGGACCCGGCCUCUAAAAGGAAGUGUUAAAACAAUGUUUUUGACAUCAAGGCUUUUCUCAAAGUUGAUUGAGUCACAACCCUGCUGACUGAAUUUGGAGGUGGGUGUAUCUGACCCUGCAAGUCAUCCUUGAAGCUGUGCUACUUCUCUGAUAUUCCCUGGACCCAGGACGCUCUUGUUUUCAGAACCGCAAUUUGUUUCAGCACAGAAGGCAUAUGCAUUGCAGGACCUAACCCUGAUACAGAUAACACUUUUCCUCUCCAAGAAAUGUAAAGGAGAGCUUGUGGAAAAGCUCAUGUGCUGUCUCUUCAGUGGAGAGUUCAAUCCAGGAACAGGAUGUGAUUAAGGAUCUUGAGACGGAGAGUUACCUUGGAUUAUCUGGACAAAGCACUCCCCGUUUCUUCGACUCUGGAGCUGUGGAGGAGUAUUUUUUGGGGGACUGGAGGCCACACCCAUCCCUCCUGUGGGCGUGUCAUCUCCCUCUGUCUCAUGGGGAAACUCACACCGUGCACUGGAGCUUCAGUUUUAUGCAGAAUUGAGGCCCGUCGGUGACGCCGAAAGCGGGAAGCCCUGAUUUGGUUUCUGUUCCCGGUCCAAUCCAAGUCCCAGCAUCAUCGGCGAGAGGAAGAGCCAUUGCCAUAGACUAAAAGGCCAGCGUGCACGGGCAUCCCCCCACCACCUCUCACAGAUGGAGCGGCCCCGCAAGGCAGACAUCACAGCCUUCAGUUUACAGAUGCGCGGUACCCUGCAGGACAGCGGGACGAUGAUAGGGAGAUAAUCUGGAUCUCUUCAUCACCGUGUGAAAUGGAGCAUCCUGCCAGCCUGGACCGUCCACUCCAGAGAGUUAUGUGAAAGAGAAAGCAAUUCGAUCUUAAGCUGUUGAGUUCACAAGGAGUGUCUGUGUGUGGAGCGGGGAAGACAAGUCACCUGAUUACUGUAUAAGGUCACCUCUCCUGCUUUAUGGAGAAAGGUAAGGCUUCCCACAGCUGCCCCAGGCUAUCUUGGUCCUGACAGUGGUGAUUACGAAAAUUUAUUUUAAAAAAUCAUUGAAGAAUUUCUCUAAUCACACAGUAUUUGAAUUCAUUAAAAAAAUAAGUCCAGGGAGGGAGGGAGACACAAGAGGGAAGAGAUAUGGGAACAUAUGUAUAACUGAUCCACUUUGUUAUAAAGCAGAAAAUAACACACCAUUGUAAAGCAAUAAUACCCCAAUAAAGAUGUAAAAAAAUAAAAUAAAAUUAAAAAAAAAAGAAGAACUAUUUCCUCCAGUUUAAAAAAAAAAAAAAGUCCAAGCCAGUAGUUUGAAGAAUUAAGUUGCCAGAAGGUUUCUUGAACCAUAUGCCGUCUAAGUUGCAAGCAGGCUGGGAAAGGCUGGUGAGGGUUCGGUGAUGCCACACCCUCUAGUCCACAUUCGUGGUUUGCGGUUGUGGACGAGACUGGGGAAAGGGGUUGGAGUAGUUGCAGUGGGGCUUUCAAAAGCUUCGAAGGGGCCUGGACUUUGGAAUUUCUACCUCUGGUGCAGAGGCAGCAAAGGAGGAAAUGGAAAUGGUAAUUUGUAAAACCUACCCAGCCCUUUGAGCUGCCUACCUAUUAUUCUCAAGCAAGUGAAGCCCGUGUUUAAGGACCAUCUUUUCCCACGAAUAUCAGUUUUUUAAGUGUGAUUUCACCUUCUGGAGAGCAGUAUCCUGACUCCUUCUGCAAUAACUUUGAACAAGUGAGUUACUUCAGGAAGGAAACAGCAUAGGUCCCAGACUUUCUGAUGUCCGUGCAGUUAUUAUUGGGAUUUUCUUUCGAAGGUUUUCUUUUCUCCCCCGAUUCAUGGAGAUAAAAAGGACAUCACAUUGUAUAAGUUUAGGUUUACAAUGUGUAGAUUUGAUACACAUAUAUUACAAAUUUCUAACGUUUUUUAACACUGUCCUCAGAAAGAGGAAAUUGUUUGAUUUCUCUCUUUAUUUUAUUUUAUUUAUUUAUUUUUGAUUUCUUUUUUUUCUUUAGAGGAGUGAUAUCAGGAUCUGAAACAGUCCAAGUGAAGUAUAUUGCGAGACUCCUUUUGUUGGGUUCGUGUUUGCAUAUCUGAACAAUCUAAUGAGAAAGGAAGUCCAGGUUUUAGCUUCUGCACAUCAGGAAAUGGUUACGUGCCCCAGCCUGGCCUUGCAGACGGGCUGAGGGGGGAACCCUCCUUUCUCCCCUCCCCCUUUCCAUCUCUCCCCCUGAAGUCAUCUCCGAGGACUUGGGGUACGCUUGACCACCCUGGAGAAUGGCCAGCGGUCACCACAGCUGCUCCCGGGCAUCGGCCUUGGAGCCAGGCUCUCCUGGGGACAGGAGAGGGAAGAGGGAAGCAGGGGUCAAACACGGCUGGAUUUCCUGGGGCAAGGUUUCCCUGUGUGAGCUCUGGGAGAGGCCUGGAGAGCCAUGUCACAUGUGCCGGCUCAGAGCCCAAGCUGGGCUGAGCUGAGUCCCAGGCUGGGAAUUCUCAGUUUACAAGUCUUCCUUUCUGUCCUGUGGAAACAGAUAGGGAAGGUUAAUGAGAUGAACAUGGCCAAAUACUGCUGGCUUCUGAGAAGGAAAAGAGCCUGUUACGCGCUCCUGCAAACACAAGCCCUCUAGAUGGGGACAGCUUCUUACUGAGCUCUCCUCCAGGAAGACUUGAUUGUUUUCAUCAGACAGUUCAAAAGUAGCAUGUAUGCAGGGCUAGUCACUCAGCCGUACAUGCCUGCUGAGUCAGGAAUCAAGAAAACAUCCUAUUUUGCUUCUGACCUUUGCAGCAGCUUUGCCCAACACCUGCCACCUUUCCAAAUACACAGGGAUUAAUAUCUGGAAAGGAUAGGUCUUUUUAUUCAAAAAAGAAGUUGGGUCUGUGAUGAACUGUGAUAAAAUGAAGAACUAGUUAAGCACCAAAGCCACAGUAUAUGGAACGGAAAGAUGAGAUACCUCUUUGGUUGGAGAUUUUCUGAAGAAAAUAUUCCAGAGAAAAGGGCAGAUGGAAAUGUAUGUGUGUGUGUGUGUGUGUUUAAUGAGUAGUUAAAAAAAAAUGAACUCUAAGUGGGAAGAAGAGAAGAAAGAAGAAAUUUGGGCGCAUCUAUAAAAUCGCCACAAUUUAUGAGAGUUUAAAAAGGCAAUUCCUUUUUAAGGAGCCAAUUCCUAAUUUCCCACAUAAAAGUAUGGGAAUUGAAUGGUAAAUCCUUCUCGGCCGACAAGACCCCUGAAAAGGGUUGGGAGAAAGAGUUACUGUUCCGUUUCCAUUCAUGUGUCUUGAAAGCCCGUGGCUGCGAAACUGCCCGGGACCGCAGAGGCCUGGGUUUCAAAGCUGCCCGAUGACUUUUCAGAGCUGAUCUAUUGUGGGGCUUUGUUUCGUCUGGGUCGCCCUCGUUUUGUUCUGCUCGGGCUGUAUCACUCUUCUGCCGCUGCUAUUAAUCCACCCUGUCUACUCCUCUCCAUUCAGAGGCACAUUUUAACCCUGCCCCGCACAGGGCGCAGCAUGAAAGGCUGAAAGGCUGAGCGUCACCGCGGGGAGACUGAGAGGGAGGGGAGGGGAGGGGAGUGUGGGGUCCUGGGUGCACAGGCUCACCUGGGUGGCUGGCUGUCCAGGAAGCAAAGAGCAAGGGAGCAAGUGGUGUGAACCAGCUCUGUCCCUCUGCUGGGAGUCGGGCAAGCCGGAACGAACCCUUUUUCUCACACGGUCACCGCCUGGCUAAGCUGCCUGCUCAGGCACCGCGAACUCAGGCUCCUGGAGCCGUACAUGAGCUGGCCCUUGUUUUCCAGUUUUGAGUCGACUUCCUUGCUUGUGCCUAAUAGGCUCCUUAUAGCUCAAGUGUUGUCAGACUGGGAUAAAGUGGCAAAAGAUACAGUGAUUUGUGUAAAAAAAGAAAAUUAAAUCAGAAAACUGUUGUUUGGUUAGGAA